This 424-nucleotide ribosomal RNA is filed under the name uncultured Chitinophagaceae bacterium. RNAcentral's name for it is "bacterial SSU rRNA". It matches the Rfam family "Bacterial small subunit ribosomal RNA", at positions 355 to 776 of the family's 1533-position model. Lineage: Bacteria; Pseudomonadati; Bacteroidota; Chitinophagia; Chitinophagales; Chitinophagaceae. The record is from RNAcentral.
UAAGGAAUAUUGGUCAAUGGACGCAAGUCUGAACCAGCCAUGCCGCGUGAAGGAUGAAGGCCCUCUGGGUUGUAAACUUCUUUUAUCUGGGACGAAAAACGGGCUUUCUAGCUCACUUGACGGUACCAGAGGAAUAAGCACCGGCUAACUCCGUGCCAGCAGCCGCGGUAAUACGGAGGGUGCAAGCGUUAUCCGGAUUUACUGGGUUUAAAGGGUGCGUAGGUGGGUAGGUAAGUCAGUGGUGAAAUCUUCAAGCUUAACUUGGAAACUGCCAUUGAUACUAUCUAUCUUGAAUACUUUGGAGGUAAGCGGAAUAUGUCAUGUAGCGGUGAAAUGCUUAGAUAUGACAUAGAACACCAAUUGCGAAGGCAGCUUACUACACAGUUAUUGACACUGAGGCACGAAAGCGUGGGGAUCAAACAGG